CAGCCGCCGCGGUAACACGAAGGGUGCAAGCGUUAAUCGGAAUUACUGGGCGUAAAGCGUGCGUAGGCGGUUUGUUAAGUCUGCUGUGAAAUCCCCGGGCUCAACCUGGGAAUGGCAGUGGAUACUGGCAAGCUAGAGUGUGUCAGAGGAUGGUGGAAUUCCCGGUGUAGCGGUGAAAUGCGUAGAGAUCGGGAGGAACAUCAGUGGCGAAGGCGGCCAUCUGGGACAACACUGACGCUGAGGCACGAAAGCGUGGGGAGCAAACAGGAUUAGAUACCCCCGUAGUCCCUGUCUCUUAUAC
This 301-nucleotide ribosomal RNA is filed under the name uncultured bacterium. Its description in RNAcentral is "partial 16S ribosomal RNA". It matches the Rfam family "Bacterial small subunit ribosomal RNA", at positions 509 to 807 of the family's 1533-position model. The record is from RNAcentral.